CCUCUGCCCAUUACACAGAGCACCGGCUGCGCACAUGCGGCAGCUCCAGCGUGGAUAGGGAGAAGGGUCUUGUAGCUACAACUCUGCAUUCUGACCAAGACUAUUACUGUAGUGAUGGGUAGUGAAAAGUAAAGCCAACUGGAAUGAUUUUCUGUGAAGAGAAAGGGAAGUGCUAUGCUGAAAUUAAGAAUCAAACACAAGAAAUUUCUCUCCUAAUCAACAGUUGACACUCACAUGACCCUAGAAGAACUCCAGCAUGUCAGAAAUUGUACUGGUGCAGCAGAAGAUGUGACCUCUGUCUGGAAAACCUUGCCUUGUACAUCUAAAAGUGUAGAGAAAAUAUAGACACUGACAAGUGAAGAGAGUAAGAAGACACUGAGUUAGUAAUGGUCAGUUUGGCAAGCUGUGGUCUCAGAAAGGCAGCAUUUUUCUUAUAGCAUCACAGAAGAAGGAUCUGAAGGGCAUGAUCUUUGUGGAUGUUUACAGGGAGGCAGAAGGGAGAAAGCAAGGUGCUUCUUUGAAACAUAGGCUGUUGUCAUGAAACAGAUGACCCCCCAACAAUGAAUAGGUUUUUUGGGAAGCAGACUUAGAAAGCUUUGUUAAGGGGUGAGUGAAUGUGAGAAUAAAUGGCAUAUGUUUCAAUAUAAAAGGAGUGGCAGUGGAAGAUAUAAGGGAAGAGGCAUCUAGUCAAAGUGAGAGGUAGAUGAGGAAGUACAUGUGAUUUUUGGUGGUUUUGACAAGUGGAGCAAGGAAGCAUUUAUGAAGGCCAGAAAUCAAUACAAAAGCAGAUAUUACUAAAAAUUAGACCUUUUCAAAGAUGCUUAAAUUGACUAUUUUCUGUAACUAUUUCUUGAUUGUCUUUGAUAACCCUUUUCUUCAGACUGCGUAUUUCAGAUCACAUUUUCACUUCUGAUCCCUGUCUUUUUGUUUGUUUGUUUGUUUUUUCCCCAAGAUUAACAGAUUAAUAUUUCCUGGUGCUAUUGUAUAGAUAUAAUGGUAAAGGAGAAAGGUCCACAGGUGGAUAAAACUAGUUAAAUUUCAAACAAUUAAUACAGUAGCAUCUUUACAGAAUUGUUUUGGUUGAAAAUGAGCUCUUUAGAUAACUUAGUUCAACUCCUCUGCUCAAACAAGGUCAACUAGAGCAGGUUGCUUAGGACUAUGUUGAGUCAGUUUUAAAAUAUAUCUGAUGAUGAAAGCUUUUUGGCCACAUGGCAGGGUCCACAGCUGCAUCUCAUAAACUUACACUGGACUUGUUAUUCAGGUCUGGAAGUUCAGAGUUGUCUGCUACCCAUGUCCCUCCCACUGUAAUUCUAGAAGCUUAGCAGUGAAAUAAAUUAAGGACCUCUCCUUUCCACUAAGGUGCUUACCUCUCCUCAGUCUCUUUUCAUAUCAGCUAUGACUCCUGGGUUCAGUGUGGACACAAAAAGCUAGGUACAGCUCAAAGCAAGACCCAGUUUAGGAGUUCAGGAGGAGUUGCCAAACUUAAGAUUUUAAGAUCUUAGAAUUUUGGCUCUUUUGGUUAUCUAAAGCCUAAGUCAAAAUUCCAAGAAGUUUUCUGCAUGUUAUUUCAUUUCCUCAGGGCUAGAGAUAUUUCUGGAUACAAAAAAUUUUUUAUGUGGUGCCAGAUAGAAGCUAAUACAAAAUCAUUGCUUCAACAGAGAAACAUGCUUGUGGAUGAGCCGUACAAAUUCCUGAGCUGCGGUGAUAUUGUCCUGAAUAUGAGCAUGAAAAGUAUAUUUCCUGCCUAUACUAUUAUUAGUAGGCUUCUUCACUAUAUUGCUAUAGUCAUGGAUGGCAGUGCUAUGCCCUGUGCCAUUCACCAUGCCAAUCACACAGACAGAGCGUAUAUGCCUGUGGCAAUCACACAGACAGAGCAUAUAUGCCUGUGGCAUUUAUGUGCCUCAUAAGUCACUCUGAAUCAUCAUCAUUGCACUUCCUCUGCCCCUCCUUUGCUUAAGGCCCUUGGCUUUUUCUCAGCUCCAAUGUGAUGCUUCCCAAUGUGAAAGGUUUCAUACCUUUGACAUGGGUUAAUAUUGAAAAUACUGAUUUAUAUAUGUCACAUAUUUAUGUCACCUAGAUGCGUGUAUUGAAAGUCAAUGUGAUUUAGUCUCCUAACUCAAUUCCUUUUGAAAUGUUACCUUUGGUGAUCCCAUGUAUUUGAUGAAAAAUGCAGUUGUAGAUAUAAUUUUGAGUUAGUUGAUAACCUAGGUGAGCAAAUGUUAUGAUUUUAAGCAGCUGUAGAGAAAUUAGCAGAUGUGGUUUUAUAGCCAUAUACAUCUGAUCAUUGUCUCCCAGCAUAAACACGCAUUGAAACCUUAUUCUUGUCUAUUACAAACAAGAGCAAACAGAAGUGCAUAUAAACUGGAAUACCAUGAAAGCACGGUCAAGGAGAAUGUCCUACAUUAAAGUUUUUUUGCAAAAUACAAAAUUGGCUUGCAAAUAUUCCAGAUCUAUGUCCUUUCUAAGAAUGAUCUCUGCUAUUUCCCAUUCAGUAACGAGAUCUGUUCAAUCUACACUUGGUUUUUAUUUUCACAUUUUUUCCAGAUAUCUGCGUGACUGAAUUUUCCUGGUUAAAAAAAUAUGUAUAGUUAAUGCUGUCAUCUUCACUGCCAUGCUUUAAUUGGGAAAUUCAGCUUCUGUACUGAAGCAGCUAUGUAAGAGUGAGCUGACAAAAGUGUUUUUUCUAGAGCUUCCAAACAGAUCUGUGCAAGGAGUAACUGUGCAGAUAAUUAAAGGAUGCUUUUUGUAGAAAGCGUUUUCCAAGUUAUUCUGCAUUUAAAUACCUGAGGUCAGCUUUGCUUUUUAGGAGAUUUGAACUGUCUCUUCCCUUCCGAAGAACAAUUUAAUCAUGUGCUCAAUCCUUUUAAAGUGACUAGGUGGAAUUUUAAGUGUCAGAAUACUGAAAAAGUAAUUCAGCUAUGGAGCUGGUAUCAUUCUGUUGGUUUGAGUUCAACCCUACAUGAGAGCAUUAAUUAGCUUCAGUUCAUGAAGCAAGCUCACAAUGACUGAAUUUCUUGAUUGAUAUUGUCCUUUAAAGUGAUUUCCAUUCCUUUUUUUUAACAGUGUCCAAGUGCUUUGUGGAAUUGAACUAAUCUAGUAAGAUAUUAAUUAGCCUUUUCCCCUCAAAUUUAUGUAGGAUACACAGAAUUUUGAAAAUUCUUAGAUCCCUUUCCUCAGACAAGCUUUGGAUUUUUGUGCAGUAGUUAACACCAGCUAGGGAAGGAAAAAAAAAAAAAAAAGAAAAAAAAAGGAUAAA
Long non-coding RNA from Gallus gallus (chicken), 3256 nucleotides. RefSeq lists it as uncharacterized. The transcript has 3 exons. Lineage: Eukaryota; Metazoa; Chordata; Aves; Galliformes; Phasianidae. The record is from RefSeq and is a predicted model, not a curated record.